UUGGUUUUUUUUUUUAAGGCAGAGAAAGUUUAAGUACAAAACCAAAUUUACUUUUUUCCAAUCUAAAGAACUUGGAAUCAGCUUUCUGCACAAAGGUCGUUAGCUGACAUGCUUUUGUUAUCCAAAACGUUAAGACUACGCCUCUUUCAAAUGCAUUACCUGACUACAAGUGAGCCCGUCCAGAAUUGAUCAGAUGUUCUUACGCAAUGGUGUGUGGAGCCCCUACUAAGUAUCAAUCAGUACAGAAGCUCCUGCAGGUCCCGAGAGGCUGUUUUUGAAGAGAUUGCGAAGUUAGACAGCAGUUCCUAUUUUCUGUAAGUAAACAUCUGCUGUAGAAGCAACUCCAAACCUACAAACACACCCACUUUUUCACAGUAAGCCUCAGCGCUGGACAGGAACAGUGAGGUAUCUGCGCUGGAUUGCAGUCAUUUUAAAAUACCUCUUUAAAUCUGUUCCUUCCUGCAUUUCAAUCUCUGCAUGUGAACCGGCGGCUUGGUUCACAAGCAACAGUUAUCGCCCACUGAAAAACACACCUUCCUUAAACAAAAGAUACUUUUUGUUCCCACGAAGCUUUUUCUGCUGCCAUACCCAGCAACAAAUGACACAAAAGACAAACUCCGCCAUCCUCAAGAGUGGUGUCAGGCGAACAGAAACAGCAAACAAAAUAACAGCAAAAGCUUCAGAAACAAAACCAAGCACCCGGAGAGUGCACAGCACGCAAAAUCGAGUUUUGUGACUAAGACUGAUUGAAUGAGAGUAACACAAGUUUGUUCGGGACACAGUGGGGCCACUCAACCAAAUCCGGAAAUUAUACAAACGAUAAAUAACAACUCCUUAAAAUGUUUUAAGUGCGUUUGGCACAAAAGUUUAUGGUUAUUCACAGGAAGCAUCUUAUCAAUUUAAUAUCACCACGUUGCAGGCUGUGCACCCGUCUCGUCAUAAUCUCUUUUAAGAAAACCGCUAAUGACCCGGAGUGCUGGAAGCCUGAAAACUGUUGUCAUCUAUCUCCCAGGACUGUGGGCCUGAUAGUGUCACGAGCAGAAACCAACUAGCGGCCAGAAGCCCAGGAGUCCCCGGCGAAUUGUUUCGAAGCACAGUCCCCACAAUCCGCGUGCUUGGGCGAAAGGACUGGAGGUGUGUGCGCGGUCCCUCCGCCCUCCGGGCCGCGCGUCCGCAGCGCCCCAGGCUGUCAGGACUCCUCUGCUGUCCAGCAGGUUCUGCUGUGUCCCCAAACAUGUACAACAGGAAGUGCUGUAACUUGGACUCUAGGGUUUCAAACUCGGAAAGUGUUAGCCCCAUCCUUCAUCCUGUGGGUAGAAAAACCAGAAGCUAAUCAGCACCAAGAGAAAGGAAUAAAGCAGACCUGUAGAAUGAACUAAAGGUGGACCUAGAACAAAAGGACAAGAUUCAUAUCUAGUCACAUCACCUUGGACAAUGCAUAUAGCACUCUAUUUGAUCACAUGGAAAGGCAUUAGGAAAACCUCGGAAAUUCCAUAUCACCUAGGCAUUUCUGGCCUCUGUAAAUGACAUAAGGUGAUUUGUGGAGAAUUUAGUGCUUUUUUUCCCCCAAUUUAGACAUGGGAAGAGUAACCAGAUAUACCUGAAAACAAAUUUUUCUUAAUUUUUUAUUUCAGAGAGAGAGAGAGAGAGACUGAGCAUGCAAACAAGGGAGAGGGACAGAGGGAGAGAGAGAGAACAAAUUUUGAGCAGGGCUCUAUCCCACGAUCCUGGGAUUAUGACCUGAGCCGAAAUAAAGAGUUGGACACCCAACUGACUGAGCCGCCAAAGUGCCCCUCCCUGGAAAAUUUUUUUAACAGUAGGUAUCGUAAGAAUUAUUUGUUAGCUGUGUAGAUACAGAAAAAAAUUAAAACUCUUGAAAUUUAAAUCCUAUAAUCUUCAUGAAUUCUUCAGAACAUGAAUAAUCUUAUCGUAUAUAGCUUCUUAAAUAAAAGUUAAAAUGUAAGAACAAGCAGAGAACAGAAUGGCCAUGUUAGAUGUAGAGGCUGGGUGGUUCACUGGGUGCACUUACUAGCUAAAUUCCUUUAUGCCAAACAGUACUUUUAGAUGGCAGGCAAUUCAUAUCAAUUCCACAGCAGCAUUAGGAGUUAGCAUGGACCAUAGUCCUAUUGAGUUGCUUUGAGAACAAUUACAGCUGUAACUAGGAAAUCCAAGAUGGAUGGCAAGAAUAUACAAUGUUACAGAAAAGUAGAUUACAAAUGCAAAUAUCUUUAGGGGCCAAAUAGGUAACAAAAUGGAUAGAAUAAAUCCAGAUGAAAGAAAAAAGUGUGGACCAGAGAUUAUACAGGCAUUCAAAUUCUUCCUUUCCUUUUUCUUCUUGCUUUUUUGUUGUGCUAUUUGUUUAUUAAAAACAAUGGAUGGACAGGGCACCUGGGUGGCUCAAUCUGUUAAGCAUCUGAUUUCUGGAUUUCAGCUCGGGUCAUGUAUCAUGGUUCAUGAGAUCGAGCCCACCUUGGACUCUAUGCUGACAGCAUGGAGCCUGCUUGGGAUUCUUUCUCUCCCUUCCUCUCUGUCCCUCCCCCACUUGCCCUUUCUCUCUCUCAAAAUAAAUAAAUAAACAUUAAAAAAAACACAAUCCCUAUCAAAAUACCAUCAGUAUUCUUUGCAGAGCUGGAACAAACAACGCUAAAAUUUGUAUGAAACCACAAAAGAGCCCAAAUAGUCAAAGCAGUCCUGAAAAAGAAAAACAAAACUGGGGGUAUCUCUGGAUUUUGAGCUAUAUUAUGAAGCUGUAGUGAUCAAGACAGUAUGGUACUGGCACAAAAACAGACACAUAGAUCAAUGGAAUAGAAUAGAAAACCGAGAAAUGGAUCCACAACUAUACGGUCAACUCAUCUUCAACAAAGCAGGAAGGAAUAUUCUGUGGAGAAAGACAGUUUCUUUAACAAAUGGUGUUAGGAAAACCGGACAACUACAUGCAGAAGAAUGAACCUGGAACACUUUCUUACACCGUACACAAAAAUAAAUUCAAAAUGGAUGAGAGACCUACAUAUAAGACAGGAGACUGUCAAAAUCCUAGAGGAGAACACAGGUAGUAACUUCUUUGACCUUGGCCAGAGCAACAUCUAAUUAGACACAUCACCAAAAGAAGGGAAACAAAAGCAUGAAUUACUGGGACUUUAUCAAGAUAAAAAGCUUCUGCACAGAGAAGGAAAAUAAUCAACAAAACUAAAAGGCAGCAUACGGAAUGAGAGAAGAUAUUUGCAAACAAUAUAUCUGAUAAAGGGUUAGUAUCCAAAAUCUAUACAGAACUUAUCAAACUCAACACCCAAAAAACAAUCCAGUGAAGAAAUGGGCAAAAGACAUGAAUAGACAUUUUUCCAAAGAAGACAUCCAGAUGGCUAAUAGACACAAGAGAAGAAACUCAACAUCACUCAUCACCAGGGAAAUAGCAAUCAAAACCACAAUGAGAUACCACCUCACACCUGUCAGAAUGAUGAAAAUUAACAACACAAGAAACAACAGAUGUUGGCAAGGAUAUGGAGAAAGGGGAAGCCUCUUGCACUGUUGGUGGAAAUACAAACCUGUGCAGCCACUCUGGAGAACAGUAUGGUGAUUCCUCAAGAAAACUGAUACUAGAACUACUCUAUAAUCCAGCAAUUUCACUAUUAGGUAUUUUCCCAAAGUGUGCAAAAAUACAGAUUCAAAGGGGUACAUGCACUCCAGUGUUUAUAGCAGUAUUUUCAACAAUAGCCAAACUAUGGAGAGAACGUAAAUGUCCAUCAAGUGAUGAAUGGAUAAAGAAAAUGUGAUACACACACACACACACACACACACACACACACACACACUGGAAUAUUACUCAGCCAUCAAAAAGAAUGAAAUCAGGCCAUCUGCAAUGACAUGGAUAGAGCCAGAAUGUAUUAUGCUAAGCAAAAUAAGUCAAUCAGAGAAAGAUAAAUACCAUAUGAUUUCAUUCAUAUGUGGAAUUUAAGAAGCAAAACAGAUGAGCAUAGAGGAAAAGGUGGGGGGGGGGCGGGAGAAGAGAGGGAAACACACCACAAGAGACUCUUAGUGAUAGAGUACAAACUGUGGGUUGAUGGAGGGAUGUGGGUGGAAGAUGGGUGAGAUGGGCUAGAUGAGUACUAAGGAGGCGUUUUUUGUGAUGAGCACUGGGUGUUGUAUGUAAGUGAUAAAUCACUGAAUUCUACUCCUGAGACCAAUAUUGUACUGUAUGUUAAUUAAUUGAAAUUUAAUAAAAAUUAAAAAAAAAACAAUGGAUAGGCAAGUCAAACACAUCUGUUGGCCAGUGUGUGCAAUUUUUAGUUACUUCCUUGUCUUCACAUCUGAAGGACUAAAUGCAUUUUAGGAGGCCAUAUUUUAAAAGGAAUACUUUUUUGUAAAAAAUGGAAUUUGUCCAGAGAAUAACAAUCAGGACGAUGAGGCAUAUGGAAAUCUUGAAGAGACGUUUAGUAUACAUGUUAGGUGUACUAACUUUGGAGUUUAAAGAAAGUGGGCUUAAGUUCUAGCUUUGGCAAUAAUAGUUUUUCCUUAGAAAAAUUACUAGACCUCUUGAAACCUUAGUUCCUUCACAUGAGCAAAGGGAAUAGUACUAUCUACCACGUAGGGUUAAAGUAAAAUUGAAAUGAGAUCAUGUAAAGUGUUUAACAUUUAAAUGGAGGCAGUUAACAUGUAUUGUAACAACAGUGAAAAUUUCACUAUUUCAGGGAAGGAAGACAUAGACUGUGUUGAGAUCAUCUACCUUCAAGUCAGGCUAAGUUUUUCACUGCUGGGAUUAGUAGAAUUGACUUUCACUCAGCAGAGAGGGUGAGGACAACAUAAGGAAGGGAAAGACAGGGGAAUGGCGGGAGGUUUCAGAAGCCCGUGCACCCUGCUGUGUGAUUCCUCAUGACAUUGUCGCUGCUAAACUGCCAUAAACAUAUUAGACACAAACUGCUGAAGACCAGUGACAUUUUGUGGAGGCUCAUAAAGAGACUAGGUUUUGAUCCAAGAAGCUUCUACAAACAAGGAGGACGAUGGAUAUAAGCUGAAGAGAAUUUGAGGAAUUGUGGAGAUGGAGUGUAAAUCUCAGGAGGUCAAGAAUCUGGAAUUUGAGUCAAGUGUGUGGAGAGGGUAUGGUCUAUGAAGACAGCUGUAUUCCAGUCACCGUGGGAAUCAUGGCAGAAACCAGAGAAAAAAGUGUUGUUGGGAGACCCAGUAUGUUCCAAUAGUGGAAGGGGCAUCAGGUUGGGGUGAUUUGACUUGAUUUGUACACUACCAAAGGGCAGAACUCGGGACAAUUGGCUAAAUGCCUAUGAGGCUCAUUUUAUCUCCAUAGAGGAAAUGUGCAACGCUGAACACAGAUGAAUCAGCAGCCUCAUCAAGUGGUGAACUUCCUAUUGUGGGAAGUAUUCAGGCAGAGGUCUACAAAUGUUGACACAUGUUGGAAUAGGUAUUCCUAUAUGAAACUGACUUGGAAAUUGAUGUCCCUCUCAAUUCUCUUUAAUAUUUUAAACGUAUGUAAAGCACUGUGGAGAGAAGGGCAGGGAUAAAACCAGAAUCUGCCUUGCCCUAAGUAGCUUCUUCAGUUAGAAAAAGACACUAGGCAGUCCACUAAUACUUUAGGACCUCUUCAGUCCUAAACCUCUACUCUUUUGGAGGGUAGAGGGAAGAAGAAAUGAGGAGAAAAAAUGGAAGAGAGGAAAAAGCAGAAAGUAAUUACUGUCAGACUGAAGCACAUCCAAAAGUUAGAGAAAUUUCAAAGUAUAAAGAAAUAAAUCACUUCUUGCUUUAUUCUAUAAUAAAUCCUGAAGUGUCUAAAGGGCCAUGUGGGAAGAUGUUGCUAGCUGCCUGCAUGAUCCCAUCAGAAAACAAAAUCAGGACUCCUAGGUGGCUCAGUCAGUUAAGCGUCCGACUGCAGCUCAGGUCAUGAUCUCAUGGUUUGUGAGUUCGAGCCCCACAUCGGGCUCUGUGCUGACAGCUCAGAGCCUGGAGUCUGCUUUGGAUUCUGUGUCUCCCUCUCCCCUGCUCAUGCUCUGUCUCUCUCUCAAAAAUAAAUAAAAGUAAAAAAGAAAAAAAUGAAAGAACCUAGGCCACAUGGUUAUAUUGCAGUAUCUGUUAGUUACCAGAUUUCCUCCCUAGCACUUUGAACGUUUUUCUGUGAUUUUUUUAAGUGGGAAAUUAGACAUCAGAAAUCAUUCUAUUACUUGAGAAUUGAUACUACCUAAAAUGGCUGUGUUCUUCCUUUCUCUCAUUAGUUGUUUAAGAUUGGAGUUUAAGAUCAUUCUCAUGUGUGGACCCAAGAAGAUAGGGUAGAAUUUUCAAGGUAACUUUCACUUGCAGUAGUUGUUUGUCAUUUAAUUUUGCCUUCAGAGGUGCAUCUAAAGCAAAUAUUCAUGUCCAAGUCUGAAAUAAUCAUUACCUGACAAUCCUUAACAUAUAUUAAAUUAAACUCUGCAUGCCUAUAUUUGGAAAGUACACAUAUUUUUAAAAGU
This is a long non-coding RNA of Acinonyx jubatus (cheetah), 6452 nucleotides long. RefSeq lists it as uncharacterized. NCBI's taxonomy places the organism in Eukaryota, Metazoa, Chordata, Mammalia, Carnivora, Felidae. The transcript has 5 exons. The record is from RefSeq and is a predicted model, not a curated record.